UACGUAGGGUGCGAGCGUUAAUCGGAAUUACUGGGCGUAAAGCGUGCGCAGGCGGUCUGUUAAGACCGAUGUGAAAUCCCCGGGCUUAACCUGGGAACUGCAUUGGUGACUGGCAGGCUUUGAGUGUGGCAGAGGGAGGUAGAAUUCCACGUGUAGCAGUGAAAUGCGUAGAGAUGUGGAGGAAUACCGAUGGCGAAGGCAGCCUCCUGGGCCAACACUGACGCUCAGUGCACGAAAGCGUGGGGAGCAAACAGG
This 255-nucleotide ribosomal RNA is filed under the name uncultured bacterium. Its description in RNAcentral is "partial 16S ribosomal RNA". It matches the Rfam family "Bacterial small subunit ribosomal RNA", at positions 524 to 776 of the family's 1533-position model. The record is from RNAcentral.